GACGAACGCUGGCGGCGUGCUUAACGCAUGCAAGUCGAACGGAAAGGCCCUGCUUUUGUGGGGUGCUCGAGUGGCGAACGGGUGAGUAACACGUGAGUAACCUGCCCUUGACUUUGGGAUAACUUCAGGAAACUGGGGCUAAUAUCGGAUAGGAGCUCUUGCUGCAUGGUGGGGGUUGGAAAGUUUCGGCGGUUGGGGAUGGAUUGGCGGCUUAUCGGCUUGUUGGUGGGGUAGUGGCUUACCAAGGCUUUGACGGGUAGCCGGCCUGGGAGGGGGACCGGCCACAUGGGUACUGAGAGAGGGCGCAGACGCGAAUCGGAGGCAGUAGUGGGGAAUAUUGCACAGUAGGCGGAAGCCAGAUGUGGCAACGCUGCGUGCGGGAAGAUGGCUUUCGGGUUGUGAACCGCUUUCGCCUGUAACGAAGCGUUAUUGACGGUACUGGGUAAAGAAGCACCGGCUAACUACGUG
This 468-nucleotide ribosomal RNA is filed under the name uncultured bacterium. Its description in RNAcentral is "partial 16S ribosomal RNA". It matches the Rfam family "Bacterial small subunit ribosomal RNA", at positions 28 to 507 of the family's 1533-position model. The record is from RNAcentral.